NNNNNNNNNNNNNNNNNNNNNNNNNNNNNNNNNNNNNNAGCGCCUCGCCUCGCUCCUCACACACGCACACACACACACACACACACACACUCCGGCUGUCCUCACACACCCCGCCUGAACACACACACACACCGCCUGUCCUCACACAGCCCUCCUCGCCCACACAGGCUCAGCCCUCCUCAACAGCCCCCGCCUGUCCUGGUGUGGACAGCCCUCCUCACACACACACACGGUGUGGACAGCCCUCCUCAUACACACACACACUCACAGCCGGCCUGUCCUCACGUACAGCCUGACACACACACACAAACGCCACCUGUGCUCACACACACACAUCUGCCUGUACUCACACACACAUCUGCCUGUACUCAGCCCUCCUUCCACACACACUGGGUAUCCUCACAGCCCUCCUCACACACACAUCCGCCUGUACUCACAGCCUUCUGUACAGACACACACGUGUCCGCCUGUAGUCACAUCUCUCCUCACACAGUGGUUAUACUCGCAGGCCUCCUCACACACUUGUCUGCCUGUACUCACAGCCCUCCUUCCACACACACUGGGUAUCCUCACAGCCCUCCUCACACACACAUCCGCCUGUACUCACAGCCUUCUGUACAGACACACACGUGUCCGCCUGUAGUCACAUCUCUCCUCACACAGUGGUUAUACUCGCAGGCCUCCUCACACACUUGUCUGCCUGUACUCACAGCCCUCCUUCCACACACACUGGGUAUCCUCACAGCCCUCCUCACACACACAUCCGCCUGUACUCACAGCCUUCUGUACAGACACACACACAUGUCCGCCUGUAGUCGCAUCCCUCCUCACAGGCCUCCUCACGUCUGCCUCACAGCCCUCCUUCCACACACACUGCAUAUACCCUCCUCACGCACACGUCUGCCUGUACUCACAGCCCUCCUUCCACACACACUGGGUAUACCCUCCUCACACACGUCUGCCUGUACUCAUAGCCCUCCUUCCACACACACUGGGUAUACCCUCCCCACACACGUCUGCCUGUACUCACAGUCUGUGUCACACACACACAGCUGUACUCACACACAGCCCUCCUCACACCCCCACACAUCCGGCCUGUGCUGACAGCCUUCUUCACACACACCAGGCCUUCUCACACACACAGCCUCCAUGUAC
This 1155-nucleotide long non-coding RNA is filed under the name Calidris pugnax (ruff). RNAcentral describes it as "lncRNA (ENSCPUG00000000797.1)". The record is from RNAcentral. Lineage: Eukaryota; Metazoa; Chordata; Aves; Charadriiformes; Scolopacidae.